This is a long non-coding RNA of Cyprinus carpio (common carp), 1252 nucleotides long. The record is from Ensembl. NCBI's taxonomy places the organism in Eukaryota, Metazoa, Chordata, Actinopteri, Cypriniformes, Cyprinidae.
UAAGAAUCUAUUUCUUAGAUUAGAAAGUUGAAUAUGCUCGUUACAGAGGAGGGACUGAUUGCUUAUUCACACCUGCACCUCAUUUACACACACACAUAUACGCCACUCACACGCAGACUCUCUGCUAAGUCUUGAUUUGCACUGGCUGUCAUUUUUGAGUGUUAUAUCUGUGUUUGCUUUCUUUGUGCUUUAUUUUGGACCGUUCCCUGUUUCUCUGAUUAUUCUCUGCCUGCCCCGACCUUGGAUUGUUUACUGGACUGUGUUUGCUAGUCGCCUGCCCUGAUCUCUCACCUGGUACUCGACUCUAUCUCUGCUCAAGCCCCUGCUGUUCAGUCUUGCUGGUAUUUGACCUUGUAUUCUCUGACUUUCCUAAAUUAAAGCUGCAAAUGGAUCCAAACGCUUCUGAUUCAUCACAACAAUGCUAUUGUUUUUAUUUCUAAUAAAGUUUUCCCUAGGACUCUAGCUGUUGUGCAUACUAUUGAAACGAUCAAUAACUCCAGCUUCCUCCCGGGUGUGCGACUGAGCUACUACAUCUGUGACACUUGCUCUGAUGCAUCAAAGGCGAUUCAGAGCACCUAACAGCUUUUCACUGUGAAUGGCUCACUGCCUGUCCAAUGGGAGGUGCUUGAAAGGCCUAAUGUAAAAGCAAUCAUUGGAGCACAUUUCUCAGAAAACUCUCUGACAGUGGCUCAGCUUCUGAGUCUAUACAUGGUCCCACAGAUAAGCACAACAUCAUCUGCACAAACACUUAAUGAUAGGGUGCGAUACCCAGCAUUCCUGCGCACCAUUCCUAGUGAUGUUCACCAAACCAAAUCUCUGGCUAAUUUCAUGAAACACUUUCACUGGGACUGGGUUGUGAUGAUUAUGGCAAAAAAUGCCUUACAAAGCUUCUUAACUGAAUAAGAAGGUGCAGAUAUCUGUCAUGCUUUUAAAGAAGUAUUGCCUCAUUACCUAGCUCACAAUGAAAUCAACAAAAGGAUUUGGCAGAACAUCUCAUGUACUUGGAUCGCAAGUGAUGCUUAGUCAAUGUCACAAAAUAUAUCUCAAAUGGAGGGAAUCAGCCAAGUAUGUGACAUUUUGGGGUUCACGUUCAUAACUGGUCCCAAUCCUGGUUUUAAGGAGUUUUUGCAGCAGCUGACUCUUGCUCUGGGCUCUGUAAACCUCUUUCUUGAGGAAUACAGGUCCUUCUCAAAAAAUUAGCAUAUUUCAUCCGACCAAUAAAAGAAAAGUGUUUUUAAUAUAAAAAAAAGUC